UACCUUACCUGUCGCUUCUGCCUUAUCUGUCGCUUUGGGGUCCUAGCUGCGUUGCCCUGGUAACAACUGUAAACAAACGGCUGCAGUUAACUGCUCCGCUCCCUGACAGGAUUUUUCAUUCAUUCGUGCCAAUGAAACAGGAGGCCUCGAUUCGUGCAGAAGAUAAGGUUUGAAACCCAGACAGCACGAAGCAUCUUGCCGACGUCAAAAUCAGAUCAACAGACUGGGACAUCAGCCUUCUCUUGGGAAUAGGCCAGAUAUGCCAUAACAAGAAAUGGUGUUUUGCCCCUGCGGUUGUGAAGAGGAUGCUGUGGAGGUGGCAGCAUGAACGUGUCACACAGACAUUGGCUAAACUACUCGGCUUCUACACUUGCCCUCAGAGUUCACAUAUGGUGACGUGCACAGGUGUCCAGUCAGGUUCAGACUGAUGCUGGUAACAAGAGGAGAACAUGCUAAUUGAUGCUGUGUUGCUGCCAGUCCACGGAUGUACACGAAUGGCUCACCUGGAGGAGGAGGGCGGUCAACGACAUUACUCAAGUAUUGACAACAAAUGUGCUCUACGAUGACAUUUCCAGCAUGUCCAACUCAUCAGCAUCAGGGGAGAUUCAGUGGAGGUGGUGCACCAUCCAGGACCAGUCAUGGGCCACCAAAACCUCUGCAAAAUCUACACUUCUUGUGAACCCUGUAGAAGACACUACAACCACAAAACUGCUAAUAAACCAUCACAUACUGCGUCA
Engraulis encrasicolus (European anchovy) is the source of this 737-nucleotide long non-coding RNA. RefSeq lists it as uncharacterized. The transcript has 6 exons. The record is from RefSeq and is a predicted model, not a curated record. NCBI's taxonomy places the organism in Eukaryota, Metazoa, Chordata, Actinopteri, Clupeiformes, Engraulidae.